UUCGUUGUCGUCCAGCGGUUAGGAUUACGGCUUUCACCCAGGAGACUCGGGUUCAAUUCCUGGCAACGGAC
Molecule: transfer RNA, 71 nt
Organism: Gossypium raimondii (Peruvian cotton)
Lineage: Eukaryota; Viridiplantae; Streptophyta; Magnoliopsida; Malvales; Malvaceae
Rfam family: tRNA
About the family: Transfer RNA (tRNA) molecules are approximately 80 nucleotides in length.
Source: Rfam